Gadus morhua (Atlantic cod) is the source of this 408-nucleotide long non-coding RNA. RefSeq lists it as uncharacterized. The record is from RefSeq and is a predicted model, not a curated record. The transcript is spliced from 3 exons. NCBI's taxonomy places the organism in Eukaryota, Metazoa, Chordata, Actinopteri, Gadiformes, Gadidae.
UGUAUACGCGGCCCAUAUCUGAUUUAUACAUAGUUUUUCCGCAGUGAUUUCUGACGUCGGCUAUGAGAGCGUGAAAAGGCAUCAGGGUCCACGCGCACCAGGUGCAUAUGAUAUUCGGUUGAAUAAUCAAAGAACAAUACUCGGAGAUCGGACCAAUGUGGAGGCCUGUGGUAGUUAUGUGCCUAUCGUGAAUAGUGUGAAACAGUGGACCCCUGGAUCAAACCGUCUAACCAAGAAAAACCUUAAAAGACCGAACCGUGCUCUGCCUCUACCCUGCUCGCCGCUAACAGUGGUGCAACAGCAGAUCCCGUAUAAAAAGGGACGCAAGGACACCGCUGAUAGUGUUUUAGCUCCAGAGAAUUAUAACUUGGUUCUCCAGGCAGUUAUAAACCCACAAAUCGCGCAGCC